RNAcentral lists this ribosomal RNA (497 nucleotides) under uncultured bacterium. Its description in RNAcentral is "partial 16S ribosomal RNA". It matches the Rfam family "Bacterial small subunit ribosomal RNA", at positions 29 to 507 of the family's 1533-position model. The record is from RNAcentral.
AAUGAACGCUGGCGGCAUGCCUAAUACAUGCAAGUCGAACGGCAGGACGGGAAGCUUGCUUUUCUGCUGUUGGCGGCGGGCGGGUGAGUAACACGUAGAUCACCUACCUCUAAGACUGGGAUAACUUCGGGAAACCGGAGCUCCUACCGGCUCAUAUUUUGAACCGAAUGGUUCAAAAGAUCUAGACGGUCUUCCUGUCACUUAUAGAUGGAUCCGUGCUGGAUUAGCUAGUUGGUAAGGUAACGGCUUACCAAGGCAACGAUGCAUAGCCGAUCUGAGAGGGUGAUCGGCCACACUGGAACUGAGACACGGUCCAGACUCCUACGGGAGGCAGCAGUAGGGAAUCUUCGGCAAUGGGCGCAAGCCUGAUGGAGCCACGCCGCGUGAGUGAUGAAGGCCUUCGGAUUGUAAAACUCUGUUAUUAGGGAAGAACAGCUGCGGGAUUAUCCGUGGACAUCCUGACGGUACCUAAACAGAAAGCACCGGCUAACUACGUG